UGAGGAAUUUUGCGCAAUGGGGGCAACCCUGACGCAGCAACGCCGCGUGAGUGAAGAAGGCCUUUGGGUCGUAAAGCUCUGUCAACCGGGAAGAAGUUAUGUGAGUCGAAUAGGCUUAUGUAUUGACGGUACCGGUGAAGGAAGCAUCGGCUAACUCCGUGCCAGCAGCCGCGGUAAUACGGGGGAUGCAAGCGUUAUUCGGAAUUAUUGGGCGUAAAGGGCGCGUAGGCGGUUUUGUCGGUCAGAUGUGAAAGCCCAGGGCUCAACCCUGGACGUGCAUUUGAAACAGCAAGACUUGAGUACGGGAGAGGAAAGCGGAAUUCCUGGUGUAGAGGUGAAAUUCGUAGAUAUCAGGAGGAACACCGAUGGCGAAGGCAGCUUUCUGGACCGAUACUGACGC
This 400-nucleotide ribosomal RNA is filed under the name uncultured bacterium. RNAcentral describes it as "bacterial SSU rRNA". It matches the Rfam family "Bacterial small subunit ribosomal RNA", at positions 355 to 746 of the family's 1533-position model. The record is from RNAcentral.